Molecule: ribosomal RNA, 644 nt
Filed under: uncultured soil bacterium
Lineage: Bacteria
Description: bacterial SSU rRNA
Rfam family: Bacterial small subunit ribosomal RNA
Source: RNAcentral
AUGCAAGUCGAACGAGAAAGUGGAGCAAUCCAUGAGUAAAGUGGCGUACGGGUGAGUAACACGUGGGUAAUCUGCCUUUUAGUGAGGAAUAACGAUGGGAAACCGUCGCUAAUACCGCAUGAGCCCGAGAGGGGAAAGUCGCAAGACGCUGAAAGAGGAGCCCGCGGCCGAUUAGCUAGUUGGUAGGGUAAAAGCCUACCAAGGCAGAGAUCGGUAGCCGGCCUGAGAGGGCACACGGCCACACUGGCACUGAAACACGGGCCAGACUCCUACGGGAGGCAGCAGUGGGGAAUCUUGCACAAUGGGGGCAACCCUGAUGCAGCGACGCCGCGUGAGCGAUGAAGCCCUUCGGGGUGUAAAGCUCUUUCGGCAGGGAAGAUAAUGACGGUACCUGCAGAAGCAGCUGCGGCUAACUACGUGCCAGCAGCCGCGGUAAUACGUAGGCAGCGAGCGUUGUUCGGAGUUACUGGGCGUAAAGGGUGUGUAGGCGGUUCUUUAAGUUUGGUGUGAAAUCUCCCGGCUUAACCGGGAGGGUGCGCCGAAUACUGAGGGACUAGAGUGUGGGAGAGGAAAGUGGAAUUCCUGGUGUAGCGGUGAAAUGCGUAGAUAUCAGGAGGAACACCGGUGGUGUAGACGGCUUUCUG